AUUGACUUGGACAAUAAAAUAAUUAUUUUAUGAUCUGAUCUCAAA
RNAcentral lists this ribosomal RNA (45 nucleotides) under Rhizoctonia solani. Its description in RNAcentral is "partial 28S ribosomal RNA". Lineage: Eukaryota; Fungi; Basidiomycota; Agaricomycetes; Cantharellales; Ceratobasidiaceae. The record is from RNAcentral.